RNAcentral lists this unclassified non-coding RNA (4174 nucleotides) under Hevea brasiliensis (rubber tree). The record is from RNAcentral. Lineage: Eukaryota; Viridiplantae; Streptophyta; Magnoliopsida; Malpighiales; Euphorbiaceae.
UUUUCCUUCGAAUUUAGCACAAAAGUUUGAAUUUUUAUUUUAGAAAGUUUAUGAGUUGUUCAGGUGUCAUUAAACUGUGCGUUCAACGCGGGCCUGAUUUAAGCAUCUUAAUGACAACUACCACCUUCUCUGUAUUGUAUGAUUCAGCAUCCAAUUCUUUUCCUUUUUCUUAUGAAUUAAAAUUAAUGAUUAAUUUCAAAAAAAAACUUAGCUUUUAUAUUUUGAUGAUUGUAAUUUGUGGGGACAAAUCCUAAAGAAAAAGAAGUUUAUUCUCUUUUUCAAUUUUAUUUAAUCAAUUGCUAAAAUGGUUGUUUCCUCUUUGAGCAGUGAACUUAUAGAGAACCAGCUUCGAAGUGUUGUUUUACAACAGUUUUCCCCACUUGAUACCUCUGCUGCUUUGGACACUUUCCUUGACUAUUGGAAGCCAAAUGCAAUCAUGAUUUUAGAGAGUAAAGUAUGGCCAAAUCUUAUCAUGGGUUCAUCAAGUAAGUGUGUGAAUAAUCCCUUAAUGCGCGCACUAUUUUCUGAGGCAUUCCAGCAUGGAAAAGGAAGUAAUAGUAAUAAUAGCAAAUGAUUAUUUUAUACUCUGCAUUUGCUUUUGCUAUCAAGUAUUAUUGUUUCCUGACUGCUGAUUGCAUAUUCGUUCACCUUUCAGUGGUAGAAGAUUAAUUUAGAAGAGAGUAUGAUUUCUUGACUGGUUUAUGAUAUCUGUGUUCUCCGCGCUGCGCAUGGCAAUACUUAUUUCAAGUGCCCCAUUUUUGCAUUUUUUUUUUUUUGUUGGAUAUCUUGAUACACAUACUCUCAUGUCUACUUAUGUGGUUGUAAGCUGUUAACAUACCAUAAAAGUAAUAUUUGUUCAUGGUCCACAGAUUUCACUGGCACUGUUAAAUGCUCAAGUGUCUAUGAAAUCCUUUAAAUUAUGGUCACAACCAGUGCAUCUUCACUGAUUCCACUAAUGCUUUCUAAAUUUCCCUGAUCAUCCCACUGGUAUGGAUGCUAUGUUUUUUACAUUGCUUUGUUUUCUGUUGCAUCGUCACUUAUGUUGCUAUGUGCCAUAGAGUACUAUGCAGGCAAUUCACUUCCAGGUUCUGCAGGCCCCACCUUUCAUCAUUAACUUUUCUGGUGACUUGAAAUAUGGUGUGCUGAUUAACUCUACUUGAGAAAUUCUCUCCAAGAUUUUAUGGGUUGUUCAUUGUUGAAGGAGAUAAGUGUUCAAUUACACUAAAAAUGGAGCACGAUGGAAAGAAUUGAUUUAAUCGGCCAACUGUUUUGCACAUUUUCCUGUAUCAUGGUUUUUCAAUUACUCUCAAAACUCAUUUUUUACUUUUUACCAGCUAAAUUUCUUAUUUUGUGUUUCCUCAAUAUUUCUGAAAAACAUUUUAGCAAGUGCCGGAAAUAAUUAUAUAUCCUAAUCUCAAGUUACAGUUCAGCAGGAGAAUAUGAUGCUUUUAAUGGAGAUACAGGAAGCAUAGAAGAUCUGAAAGGACAGCUUGCCUCUCGGCAUGUUUGGAUGGCUUCUUGCAUACAUAGGGGUGAAGAAAAAGUUGUGCUCAGAGUUCACAAAGCACUCAUACAAGCAUAUGCUGAUCUGGUCACUACAAUUGUACCUCAGUAUCCACAACAUGGACAGGAGAUUGCUCAAGAAUUGCAGAAAGAGGGAAAUGUAGCCUUGAGGUCUCAACAUCGAAGUAUUAUGCCAGGAACACAAAUUUAUGUGGUGGACUGUGGACACGUUAGAUCUGAAAUUUUCAAUUUUGUUUUUCUUUUUCCACGAAUUGUCUUUUACUUUGCUAUAUGACUAUUGAUGUCCUCAUGUCUUUUCUCAACUAAUUAGGUGAACUGAGACAUUUGUACACGAUAUCUUCAGUAGCUGUAAUUGGAGGUUCCUUCUUGCCUGGUUUAGCUGGUCAUAAUAUACCAGAAGCUGCAGCAGCUGGCUGUGCAGUUUUGACUGGUGAAUGUUUACUCCUGGGUCAUAUUUGCUUCAUGACAUAAUAUUAUUAGAGGCUUGCUGUUUGGAUACUUUCAGGUCAUCAUGUUGGUCAUUUCUCACACAUGGUAAAGGAAAUGCAAUGCUUAAAUCCCUUAUCAGUUAUUCAGGUUUGAAGAAUCCCUUUGUGUUUAUUCUUACCUUUCAAAUGAAACAUUUUAAUUGGAAAAAGGCUCCUUUUCAAUUCUAUUUGCUAAAAUAAUAUAGAAACGUGUACACAACAUGAUGUGAUAUUUAUGCCUUGGGAGUAUGAAAAAUAGAAGAUGGAUUAAAAAACCUGGAAUCUUUUGUCAAUUUUAAUUUUAUAUGGUUAAUUAUGAAUACAUAAUUAUAAGCAGUUCAGUAUUAUGCUGUUUUAUCCCAGGUGUGUCAAGAGAUAUGUUCUUGGAUAGAAAUUUAGUUUAUUAUUUAUCGUAGGCAUUUAAUUUAUUAGUCAAAUAUUGAGAGGGAAAAAUAGGAAAAAGUUUUUUAGCUCUGUAGGAAAUAACAGUUUUUUCCCCUGGGUGGCAGGAAGGACUAAUUCAAAUCCUUAAUUUUUACUGCUCAUGCAGGUGUCCAGUACCUUAGAGCUUGAAGAAGCUAUUAUGGAACUCCUUAAUGAUACCAAAGUACUAGAUGCACGGCGCAUGGCUGCAAAACAAGCAUUUUGUGCUCUGUCCCAUGGCAUUAUUGCUAAUGUUUGGAACCUGCUAAAUUUUCAUGUUCUGAGAGUAUCUUUGCGAGAAAGUUGAUGAAGACUGGCACACAGCAAAUCGAUUGUGAAAAUGAGGUUUGUCUUUGCCUCCUGCAUGAAAGCUGUUCAUGAAAGUAGCAUCAAAGGUACUUGAAACCAAUUAGCAAAACACUUUAUGUUCAUGGCUUCAUGCAUGUAUAUGGCAGCUCUAGCCAUUUAUUCUAAGUCACACAAACUUUAGUACAAUCCCAUUCAUUGAGCACCUUUGCCCCCUUGAUUUUACAUAUUUGAUUAAGAAAACUUUUGGCUUUAGUAAAUGAUGAAAAGAAGCUUUUCUAGCAAGUUGCGAAACCAAAUAUGGUUGUUUCUAGUUAUAUUUUGCCUGUAGUUUUCUCUCUGUUUUUCUGGAAAAACAUGUAAUGUACUGCCAUUUUUUAUUGUUUUUUCCUUGACAUGUCCACCUACUUUUGAAGAUGAUAUUUGAAGUACGAUUCAAUGACAGUUCAUUUGUUUCCAUUGAUCUUCCUUUCUCUCUCCAAAUAUUUUGUAUAUGUGUUUUUGGGGUGCUUUUAUCUGUUACAGAAUCCUUUAGCCAGCAAUGUGAUUUCACUGAUAUCCCUUGGAUGGUGCUAAUCUCCGGGUUCAGUACAUCUAAUUCAAUCUUUCAUAAACUGUGCUACAGUACUGCCAGCUCUGGAGCUCAAGCUCUUGAAGUAGCAUUGAAUCCUUCAACAAACAAGAGAACUUGGCUCGCAUUUGCUUCAUGCCUUCACCUCUUUGCAAAUUGGUUGGUUGAUUAUAUCUUAGAACAGAAACACAGCACACGGUGUAACCAUAGGACCAUUUUGUUAUGACCAUACUGUUCAUAUGCUUUGUCUAGCAGGUGCCUGAAAAUUGGUUGGUUCAAAUAACCUGCUCUAAUAACAAAACUUUUACCUGCUUCCCCCACCAUGACAACUAAAUGUCCAGAAGUAACAUCUCAGGGCAGUUUCUUCUUACCUCCAGCUAACUUUCACACACAUUAGUGAUUCUCUUCAGCUUCACGAUGUUGCAAAUUUCACUUCUGUAGCUCUAUAGGAUGAGCCAUGAAGUGAUGCCUCUAGCAGUCUUCUCGAAGAUUUGGGUAUCAAAGGCGUAAGAAUGACAUUUAUUUAUCACUUAGGAGCUAAGAUAUUCUCCACUUAUGUUUCCUACAAUUAAAAAUUAUGCACAUCACAGUCCCCACAUUGUAUUUGCAAUUCUCAUCCCUUUCAGGUAGUCACCAUGAAUUCAAUCAUUGUUAAUGUGAAACACAGACGAUUCUCUGACAACUCAUUUACAUAUCCUGUCACUUGAUCAUUGAUUUUAUUAGUUAUAGUUCGUCCUUGAACAAAAUGAACAAGGUACGUAGAUUAGUCAUAUGCCUAAGUUCCCUGUUCAUUCACUUGUCCAUUUAUGAACUUCUCUAACAUGGCAAUCAUGUAAAAAUGGAGCCAGAGUUGAGAACUUGUUAGGACAAAAUUAUUCUAGAA